Molecule: unclassified non-coding RNA, 473 nt
Filed under: Hevea brasiliensis (rubber tree)
Lineage: Eukaryota; Viridiplantae; Streptophyta; Magnoliopsida; Malpighiales; Euphorbiaceae
Source: RNAcentral
AGUUGCCAAAAGUUGGGCCGAUCACACGAGAGGAUAUAAAGACAGCCUUAAGGAACACUAGGCCAUCUGCUCAUCUCCAUGCUCACCGUUAUGAGAAGUUUAAUGCUGAUUAUGGUAGCCAAAUACUCCAAUGAAGGCUCACAUCCUCGGAUGUCAUUCUAAAUUCCUCCAUGAAAUGUUUCUUAGUUUAUGUUGUUAUCAGAUAACGUGUACUAUUAUAUCUUUACCAUAACGAGCCUAGAUGAGGACGUGAAAGUCUGAUAAUUAUAUAUAUCAUGGUUUGGUCUCAACAAUUACUUUCCAGUAUCCAUUUUUUAAUGGUUUUUGUAGGAUUACUCGCAGAUACUCUGAACACCGUUUCCAAUUUUCUCGGUUUAUUUCAAGUAAAGCUGCUGCAAAAGGAUGCUGUCUUUAGCUGAUUAGCUCGUUCAUUGAGAUAUCACUGUUCAUUGGAUGUGCAAAUUCGUUUCACC